GACCCGAACCUGGGUGAUCUAUCCAUGACCAGGAUGAAGCUUGGAUGAAACUAAGCAGAGGUCCGAACCGACUGAUGUUGAAGAAUCAGCGGAUGAGUUGUGGUUAGGGGUGAAAUGCCACUCGAACCCAGAGCUAGCUGG
This 141-nucleotide ribosomal RNA is filed under the name Oryza sativa Indica Group (long-grained rice). Its description in RNAcentral is "rRNA LSU_rRNA_eukarya". It matches the Rfam family "Bacterial large subunit ribosomal RNA", at positions 712 to 852 of the family's 2925-position model. Lineage: Eukaryota; Viridiplantae; Streptophyta; Magnoliopsida; Poales; Poaceae. The record is from RNAcentral.